GUGGGGAAUUUUGGACAAUGGGCGCAAGCCUGAUCCAGCAAUGCCGCGUGCAGGAAGAAGGCCUUCGGGUUGUAAACUGCUUUUGUACGGAACGAAAAGGCUCUGGUUAAUACCUGGGGCUCAUGACGGUACCGUAAGAAUAAGCACCGGCUAACUACGUGCCAGCAGCCGCGGUAAUACGUAGGGUGCAAGCGUUAAUCGGAAUUACUGGGCGUAAAGCGUGCGCAGGCGGUUUUGUAAGACAGACGUGAAAUCCCCGGGCUCAACCUGGGAAUGGCGUUUGUGACUGCAAAGCUGGAGUGCGGCAGAGGGGGAUGGAAUUCCGCGUGUAGCAGUGAAAUGCGUAGAUAUGCGGAGGAACACCGAUGGCGAAGGCAAUCCCCUGGGCCUGCACUGACGCUCAUGCACGAAAGCGUGGGGAGCAAACAGGAUUAGAAACCCUAGUAGUCC
RNAcentral lists this ribosomal RNA (450 nucleotides) under uncultured bacterium. RNAcentral's name for it is "partial 16S ribosomal RNA". It matches the Rfam family "Bacterial small subunit ribosomal RNA", at positions 354 to 796 of the family's 1533-position model. The record is from RNAcentral.